GUAGGGGGCAAGCGUUGUCCGGAUUUAUUGGGCGUAAAGAGCGUGUAGGCGGCCAGGUAGGUCUGCUGUGAAAACUCGAGGCUCAACCUCGAGCUGUCGGCGGAAACCAUCUGGCUAGAGUCCGGAAGAGGAGAGUGGAAUUCCUGGUGUAGCGGUGAAAUGCGCAGAUAUCAGGAAGAACACCUAUGGCGAAGGCAGCUCUCUGGGACGGUACUGACGCUGAGACGCGAAAGCGUGGGGAGCGAACAGGAUUAGAUACCCUGGUAGUCCACGCCGUAAACGAUGGGUGCUAGGUGUGGGCGGUGUCGACUCCGUCCGUGCCGAAGCUAACGCAUUAAGCACCCCGCCUGGGGAGUACGGCCGCAGGGCUA
RNAcentral lists this ribosomal RNA (371 nucleotides) under uncultured bacterium. RNAcentral's name for it is "bacterial SSU rRNA". It matches the Rfam family "Bacterial small subunit ribosomal RNA", at positions 527 to 896 of the family's 1533-position model. The record is from RNAcentral.